AACGAACGCUGGCGGCAUGCCUAACACAUGCGAGUCGAACGAGACCUUCGGGUCUAGUGGCGCACGGGUGCGUAACGCGUGGGAACCUGCCCUUAGGUUCGGAAUAACUCCCCGAAAGGGGUGCUAAUACCGGAUAAUGUCUUCGGACCAAAGAUUUAUCGCCUUUGGAUGGGCCCGCGUUGGAUUAGCUAGUUGGUAGGGUAAAAGCCUACCAAGGCGACGAUCCAUAGCUGGUCUGAGAGGAUGAUCAGCCACACUGGGACUGAGACACGGCCCAGACUCCUACGGGAGGCAGCAGUGGGGAAUAUUGGACAAUGGGCGAAAGCCUGAUCCAGCAAUGCCGCGUGAGUGAUGAAGGCCUUAGGGUUGCAAAGCUCUUUUACCCGGGAUGAUAAUGACAGUACCGGGAGAAUAAGCGCCGGCUAACUCCGUG
Molecule: ribosomal RNA, 433 nt
Filed under: uncultured bacterium
Lineage: Bacteria
Description: partial 16S ribosomal RNA
Rfam family: Bacterial small subunit ribosomal RNA
Source: RNAcentral